Eriocheir sinensis (Chinese mitten crab) is the source of this 821-nucleotide long non-coding RNA. RefSeq lists it as uncharacterized. The transcript has 3 exons. Lineage: Eukaryota; Metazoa; Arthropoda; Malacostraca; Decapoda; Varunidae. The record is from RefSeq and is a predicted model, not a curated record.
AGAUGUUGCAGUAGCAGAUGUUAUCCAUCCAGGAUAUUCCUGAGCAACAACAGAGCUUCAGAAUUUCCCCACAAAAAUGAGAAUAUGUACAAAUUAUUCAACGAGUUGUAUCAUUCCAUUUAGAAUCAUGCCAACCUGUCGAAUUCUGCCUGCAGUGGCAAGGCUGACCCUCCUACUGGCCACCUUCUCUAUGUCAUCGAUAUUUAUUAUCUCAAUAAUGAAGGCAUAUAUUGGCAUGGAAGUAAAGUUUCUUAGGGUUCAAGACAAUCACCAUUUUCUUGACGUAGAUGGGGAAGUUAUUCGCCUCCAAGCACCUAACAAUACGAAAGUUUUAAGGCUUCCACUUGAUGAUAACAAGCUCCCAUUGAAACCCAUAGAGCUCAGUAAAGUACACGCUCAAUACAACAAGACUGAAGAGGCCAAAGCUCUUGAUCCUUUAAACAACAAAGGAAACAAUACAGGUAAAGAGACCGGUGCCGCGGAUAACGGAGAGUAAAGUCAAUGAAUACGAGGCACAAACUAUGAACGUCUCUUCAAGCAACAACGUCCAAGGUCAACAGAAAAGCGGCAAGGAGGUGUUGACAUCUACAUUCGUCCCCAUUGAGCCAGACACAUCACCACUGCGUCAUCCACCUGACAUUCCCAAGACUUUCCUCAUCGAAGAGGCUGAUUACUGCUUGAGGCGGCCCAACCUGCAGAUUAUUGCUUACGUCCACUCUUCCAUCUCCCGCGUAAAGGAUCGAAUGGACACCCGGCGUACUUGGGGAAACGCCUCCGCCUACGACAUGGGCCCCAUGAACGUUAGCGUCGGAGUUGUUUUU